CAAGUCCUGCAGUGGAACCACAUCGAAUUGCAAAUUCGAAAAAGCCACUAAAAGUGGCCCGGACU
This 65-nucleotide transfer RNA is filed under the name Hoplodactylus sp. North Cape. RNAcentral describes it as "tRNA-Cys". The record is from RNAcentral. Lineage: Eukaryota; Metazoa; Chordata; Lepidosauria; Squamata; Diplodactylidae.